CCACCACCGCUUGCAGCAGUGUUGGUCACAACGACAACCAACCGGGCCCACACAGCUGGUCCUCGCAGAAUAAAGGAAAGAAAAAGUAAAAAAUAAAAUAAAAUAAUGAACCUACGUGUGCACGACAACUUCUCUCCUUGACAAGCAGUACACUCCUUCAAGAUCUCUCUCAUAAGUUAGAAAGUAAAGGAUGACAAGUUGCAAUUUGAAAAGGAAUGAAGUGAAGCUUUGUAUUUAUAAAGGUCGGGCAUCCUAGGUCAAGGAGGAAUCACAAGCCUAUU
Molecule: long non-coding RNA, 281 nt
Filed under: Prunus persica (peach)
Lineage: Eukaryota; Viridiplantae; Streptophyta; Magnoliopsida; Rosales; Rosaceae
Description: long non-coding RNA (PPER_LNC004708)
Source: RNAcentral